Molecule: long non-coding RNA, 1297 nt
Filed under: Mus musculus (house mouse)
Lineage: Eukaryota; Metazoa; Chordata; Mammalia; Rodentia; Muridae
Description: predicted gene, 20319
Source: RNAcentral
AGUAAGCUUCAAAACACUGGACCUGGGCAGAUAUCAACCCUCUAAGAGUUGGGGAAGAGCUACAAGGUCACUGAGGUAAUGCAAAAGUUCCUGCCCUCAGCAAUGACGGGGAAUGGAGAAUGGCUAGAAGAUGGAGUGUCUUGAAAGGUUUAUGCCCUUAGAGGACAAUACAAGAUUCCUAUUAAUGAAACACUGAUGAUGAUGAUGAUGACGAUGACAAUGACGAUAAUGGGAUGAGUAGGAGAGACCCUGCUUGUCAUUGCUAGACCACCUGGGACUCUUCUUCACUGGCAUGGCCACCUGCAACUGCUUCCAGAACCUGCCCUGAGGAUACUUGGAUUUCUCUCCUUUCCAUUUAAUGACCGUGAGCACCGUCUUAGCCCGCUUCAGCUCUUUCACCUUCAUGUCCUUCACAGCUUUGUACUGCACUAAAAUGACGUUGAUGUUGCCCCGGGAGGCCAUAUUUUCUAGGCCAGCCUUGAGCUCCAGGAGGGCUUGUGUUCCCUGGAGCACGUAGUUGGGACUUAGGACAACCAGGAGUCGUCUGCUUUUCUGAAUGAAGCUCAGGGUCUCAUCUGUGACAACUGGGAAAGAAAACACCAUGGGGAUUAGUGUUGGCCAAGAACUACCUGAUUCAAAGAGGUGAAGGAUGGAAGAUAGGGAACUUGGAACGACAGCCUGGGAAACAAGGCUGAAACAGCUUUAUCAGCAACAGUCCUAGUAACUUUCUCUUUAACCACACUGUUCCUGGAAUGUCACUCUGAUGAGGAAAAAAAAAUGGAGUCAUAUAUAAAUGCCCAACUCUCCAAAUGUUUCCAAAUGACUAAAACUAAAAUAUGGUGGAAUAUGAUGGGCUGCUGUUACCCAGUUCCUCAAAGGCCCUAUUUGAACCAGAUGGAAUAGAUAUAUUGUAGUGACAUCACUUUCUUCAAAUAGUGUUGCAGCUCAGACAAAGAGGCUCCUGAAAGAAAAUACUAUCUUCUAUGAAACGUCUUCACACAAAUAUGAACUUCAGAGUCAAAGCCCCCAAGUUGCAGCUGCAGCUAACCAAGGACAACACCAGGGAAUGCCAAAUUUGAGUCUGUCUCUCUGUCUCUCUCUCUCUGUCUCUCCCUCUCCCCCUCCCUCCCUCUCUCUCUUUCUCUGCUGAUGUGUACUUUCCUGAUGCCAACUGAUGUCACUGUUGCUAGAUUAGUAACUCAAGCAAAUGGCAUCUUGGCAAGCAGUGUAUUCCCCCAUCAGCUCUUUAGUUUUCUCUGUUGUGGAGAUGAAAUAAAACAUGCAUAUUUCUCUUUAA